UGUGUAUAAUGUAUAAAGGGGAGAUAAUUAAUCCGAAUUAUUUCACAGAGGGUGAACAAUAAAAAAUUGUUUUAUACUGUCAGGUUUGAGGUAAUGGUAGGUUAUACUUUGUGUAUAAUGUAUUAAGGGGAGAUAAUCAAUCCAAAUGACUUCAUAAGGGGUGAACAAUAAAGAUUUGUUUUAUACUGUCAGGUUUGAGGUAAGUAGGUUAUACUUUGUGUAUAAUGUAUUAAGGGGAGAUAAUUAAUCCAAAUGACUUCAUAGGGGGUGAACAAUAAAGAUUUGUUUUAUACUGUCAGGUUUGAGGUAAUGGUAGGUUAUACUUUGUGUAUAAUGUAUUAAGAGGAGAUAAUCAAUCCAAAUGACUUCAUAGGGGGUGAACAAUAAAGAUUGGUUUUUACUGUCAGGUUUGAGGUAAUGGUAGGUAUACUUUGUGUAUAAUGUAUUAAGGGGAGAUAAUCAAUCCAAAUGACUUCAUAGGGGAUGAACAAUAAAGAUUUUUUUAUACUGUCAUGUGAGGUAAUGGUAGGUUAUACUUUGUGUAUAAUGUAUUUAGGGGAGAUAAUCAAUCCAAAUGACUUCAUAGGGGUGAACAAUAAAGAUUUGUUUUAUACUGUCAGGUUUGAGGUAAUGGUAGGUUAUACUUUGUGUAUAAUGUAUUAAGGGGGUAUAAUCAAUCCAAAUGACUUUUUAGGUGGUGAACAAAUAGAUUUGUUUGAUACUGUCAGGUUUGAGGUAACUUGGUAGAUAUAUACUUUGUGUAUAAUGUAUUAAGGGGAGAUAAUCAAUCCAAAUGACUUCAUAGGGGGUAACAAUAAAGAUUUGUUUUAUACUGUCAGGUUUGAGGUAAUGGUAGGUUAUACUUUGUGUAUAAUGUAUUCAAGGAGAUAAUCAAUCCAAAUGACUUCAUAGGGGGUAAGCAAAAAGAUUUGUUUAAUACUGUAAUGUUUGAGGUAAUGGUAGGUUAUACUUUGUGUAUAAUGUAUUCAGGGAGAUAAUUAAUCCAAAUGACUUCAUAGGGGGUGAACAAUAAAGAUUUGUUUGAUACUGUAAUGUUUGAGGUAACGGUAAGUUAUCCUUUGUGUAUAAUUUAUUAAGGGUAGAUAAUCAAUCGAAAUGACGUCAUAGGUGGUGAACGAUAAAGAUUUGUUUGAUACUGUCAGGUUUGAGGUAACGGUAGGUUAUACUUUGUUUAUAAUGUAUUAAGGGGAGAUAAUCAAUCCAAAUGACUUCAUAGGGGGUGAACAAUAAAGAUUUGUUUUAUACUGUCAGGUUUGAGGUAACGGUAGGUUAUACUUUGUGUAUAAUGUAUUAAGUGGAGAUAAUCAAUCCAAUUGACUUCAUGGGGGUGAACAAAAAGAUUUGUUUUAUACUGUAAUGUUUGAGGUAAUGGUAGGUUAUACUUUGUGUUUACUGUAUAAAGGGGAGAUAAUCAAUCCAAAUGACUUCAUAGGGGUUGAACAAUAAAGAUUUGUUUUAUACUGUCAGGUUUGAGGUAAUGGUAGGUUAUACUUUGUGUAUAUUGUAUAAAGGGGAGAUAAUCAAUCCAAAUGACUUCAUAGGGGGUAACAAUAAAGAUUUGUUUUAUACUGUCAGGUUUGAGGUAACGGUUGGUAUAUAUACUUUGUGUAUAAUGUAUUAAGGGGAGAUAAUCAUUCAAUAUGACUUAAUAGGGGUGAACAAUAAAGAUUUGUUUAAUACUGUCAGGUUUGAGGUAACGGCAGGUUAUAUAUUCUUUGUGUAUAAUGUAUUCAGGGGAGAUAAUCAUUCAAAAUGACUUAAUAGGUGUGAACAAUAAAGAUUUGUUUUAUACUGUCAGGUUUGAGGUAACGGUAGGUUAUACUUUGUGUAUAAUGUAUUAAGGGGAGAUAAUCAAUCCAAAUGACUUCAUAGGAGG
Molecule: long non-coding RNA, 1897 nt
Filed under: Mytilus galloprovincialis (Mediterranean mussel)
Lineage: Eukaryota; Metazoa; Mollusca; Bivalvia; Mytilida; Mytilidae
Source: RNAcentral